GAUGAACGCUGGCGGCGUGCCUAAUACAUGCAAGUCGAGCGAACGGACGAGACGCUUGCUUCUCUGAUGUUAGCGGCGGACGGGUGAGUAACACGUGGAUAACCUACCUAUAAGACUGGGAUAACUUCGGGAAACCGGAGCUAAUACCGGAUGAUAUUUUGAACCGCAUGGUUCAAAAGUGAAAGACGGUCUUGCUGUCACUUAUAGAUGGAUCCGCGCUGCAUUAGCUAGUUGGUAAGGUAACGGCUUACCAAGGCAACGAUGCAUAGCCGACCUGAGAGGGUGAUCGGCCACACUGGAACUGAGACACGGUACAGACUCCUACGGGAGGCAGCAGUAGGGAAGCUUCCGCAAUGGGCGAAAGACUGACGGAGCAACGCCGCGUGAGUGAUGAAGGUCUUCGGAUCGUAAAACUCUGUUAUUAGGGAAGAACAUAUGUGUAAGUAACUGUGCACAUCUUGACGGUACCGAAUCAGAAAGCCACGGCUAACUACGU
Molecule: ribosomal RNA, 496 nt
Filed under: uncultured bacterium
Lineage: Bacteria
Description: partial 16S ribosomal RNA
Rfam family: Bacterial small subunit ribosomal RNA
Source: RNAcentral